AACGAACGCUGGCGGCGUGCCUAAUACAUGCAAGUCGAACGUUAAAGUCCUUCGGGAUGAGUAAAGUGGCGCACGGGAGAGUAAUACAUCGGAACGUACCUUUUGGUGGGGGAUAACCACGGGAAACUGUGGCUAACACCGCAUAAUGACGUGAGUCUAAAGCAGGCCUCUAUUUAUAAGCUUGUGCCAAUAGAGCGGCCGAUGCCCCAUUAGCUAGUUGGUAGGGUAAUGGCCUACCAAGGCGACGAUGGGUAGCUGGUCUGAGAGGAUGAUCAGCCUCACUGGGACUGAGACACGGCCCAGACUCCUACGGGAGGCAGCAGUAGGGAAUUUUGCACAAUGGGCGCAAGCCUGAUGCAGCAACGCCGCGUGAGUGAAGAAGGCUCUUGGGUUGUAAAGCUCUUUCGGCCGGGAAGAAGGGUUUGCCUGCGAACAGCUUGCAAAUUUGACGGUACCGGAAGAAGAAGGACCUGCUAACUUCGUGCCAGCAGCCGCCGUAAAAC
This 503-nucleotide ribosomal RNA is filed under the name uncultured bacterium. RNAcentral describes it as "bacterial SSU rRNA". It matches the Rfam family "Bacterial small subunit ribosomal RNA", at positions 29 to 526 of the family's 1533-position model. The record is from RNAcentral.